UACGGGGGGAGCAAGCGUUGUUCGGAUUUACUGGGCGUAAAGGGCGCGUAGGCGGCGUGACAAGUCACUUGUGAAAUCUCCGGGCUUAACCCGGAGCGGCCAAGUGAUACUGUCGUGCUAGAGUGCGGAAGGGGCUACUGGAAUUCUCGGUGUAGCGGUGAAAUGCGUAGAUAUCGAGAGGAACACCUGCGGCGAAGGCGGGUUGCUGGGCUGAUACUGACGCUGAGGCGCGAAAGCCAGGGGAGCGAACGGG
This 253-nucleotide ribosomal RNA is filed under the name uncultured bacterium. Its description in RNAcentral is "partial 16S ribosomal RNA". It matches the Rfam family "Bacterial small subunit ribosomal RNA", at positions 524 to 776 of the family's 1533-position model. The record is from RNAcentral.